This is a long non-coding RNA of Ipomoea nil (Japanese morning glory), 190 nucleotides long. RefSeq lists it as uncharacterized. The transcript has 2 exons. Lineage: Eukaryota; Viridiplantae; Streptophyta; Magnoliopsida; Solanales; Convolvulaceae. The record is from RefSeq and is a predicted model, not a curated record.
UGGCAUCCUAAUAAGUUUAUUGUGAGAAAUAAUGUGAGGGAUAUAAUAUAUAAUGUAGAUUCAAUAUGUAAUAUAGUACCCUCUUCUGUUGAAGUGUAUCUCAUAUAGUACUCAAAAGUUGCAGUGUGUGUGUAAGUUCAUUGAUCUUACAUGCUGUAAACCUGCAAUUAAUAUUGUGUAUUGAUAUUUU